GUCAGAUGGGCUCAUGUUUGCUCCUGGGCAUGUCCACAUACAGGUCACAUAGAAAGGGCCUCAGAUGGAAGGUGAAACUGAUGAAUGCACUGGAUGAACAUCAAGCUGCAAGUCACAUGAUAGUAUGGGCCUCAGAUGGAAGGCAAAACUGAUGAAGGUGCUGGUGAACAUCACGCUGCAUGAAAAAAUAGGCUACAUCUGUCGUCACUGGCAUCGCAAGUAUUAAAGGCUGAAGUGUUAAUUCAC
Engraulis encrasicolus (European anchovy) is the source of this 246-nucleotide long non-coding RNA. RefSeq lists it as uncharacterized. The record is from RefSeq and is a predicted model, not a curated record. Lineage: Eukaryota; Metazoa; Chordata; Actinopteri; Clupeiformes; Engraulidae. The transcript has 3 exons.